Molecule: ribosomal RNA, 421 nt
Filed under: uncultured Alphaproteobacteria bacterium
Lineage: Bacteria; Pseudomonadati; Pseudomonadota; Alphaproteobacteria
Description: bacterial SSU rRNA
Rfam family: Bacterial small subunit ribosomal RNA
Source: RNAcentral
GAACGCUGGCGGCAGGCCUCAUACAUGCAAGUCGAGCGGUCCUUCGGGACAGCGGCGAACGGGUUAGUAACGCGUGGGAACGUGCCCUUUAGUACGGAAUAGCCAUUGGAAACGAUGAUUAAUACCGUAUACGCCCCAAGGGGGAAAGAUUUAUCGCUAAAGGAUCGGCCCGCGUUAGAUUAGGUAGUUGGUAGGGUAAUGGCCUACCAAGCCGACGAUCUAUAGCUGGUUUGAGAGGAUGAUCAGCAACACUGGGACUGAGACACGGCCCAGACUUCUACGGAAGGCAGCAGUAGGGAAUCUUGGACAAUGGGCGAAAGCCUGAUCCAGCCAUGCCGCGUGAGUGAUGAAGGCCCUAGGGUUGUAAAGCUCUUUCGCCAGGGAAGAUAAUGACGGUACCUGGUAAAGAAACCCCGGCUAA